GCGCGACGUUAGGGGACACUCGGCCAACAGUGGAAGCCACUGCGAAAGGAGUCGGUCCCUAAGAAGAGAACAGGCCAGGUUUGUGAAAGUGCUUGACGAGAUUAUUAGCUGCCUCCCUCAUGUCUUCAUGGACUUCAACAGACAGCACUCCUGCCAAGAGACAAAAACAAGAGUACAGUCAGAGAGGAUCCCAGCACAGCGCGUACGCUCUGGGAAGGCGAAGCUAACUCCGGCGGCGUCCCGGUCCAUCUUCCAAAAUCCUCCUCGCCACCAGGUGACACCAACUGCCCAAUGAGGACUCGUUCCAAGCUGCCGUCGCCCACGCCUUUCCCCAACCAUCGGCCACAAGGGAAUCUGGCAGGGAGGACCAUGCAUAUUUUAGAAGCAGAAGAAAAAAUGAUGCAGGGAAAAAAGAUUGUCCUGAAGUGCACCUGUACAACUAAACAUGUAACCAAACUAGAGACAUUUUCAAAAAACAGCAGCUUGUGCUUGUAUUUGAUUUUAUUAGAAUGAGUAGGUGAACCUAAUUUUGCGGCUGGUGAGUGUACCCAAAGAGGAAGUGUAAAAACCUGGCUGGCAGAGCACAAAUGGCACACAUUAAAAACUAGAGUGUCAUCUAUUUUGCAUAUUUGAAAAGCAUGUAGCCUUCAAAGAGUGACUGCUAUUCUUACUUGUAUGUGUGUCCCGUGAUCUCAUUGUAGACCAUCACACAGUCGAUGAGACACUUGGCAAGCAGGCCCGAGUUCUCCUGUCCCAGCUGCAAAGUACUCAGUCGGCCCAGGUUCUUACACUGGAACAAAAACAACUGUUGUUCACGCAAACUCAUAAGCUGCGAUAAAUUUGCCUUUGCCUCAAAUUAGAUCAUUAUGAUGAAAUGACUGCUAUUGUUUUAUCCUUUUUAUUUGUAAUUUUUUUAUAAUUUUUUGUAAUUUAUUAUAAAUACAUAUACAUUUUAUUAUAAUAAUAAUUAUAAUAUAUAUUAUAAAUAUUUUUAUUUAUGAGACAAACCUGGAAAAAAAUCUCCUGGCUAUUCUUGGGGAUCUGUCUCACUCCAGAAUCUCCCAUUUCUCCAGAUACACACACCCACGGGUUGACCGUCGCCAUGGCGAUGCUCAGCUUCUUCAUGGGGAUGAUAGCGACUCGAUAGGGAAUGUCUGUAGAGAGGCGGGUUGUUUUUUAGCAAUAAUAUCACUGCUUGUUUUUAUCAUCCAUCUGUCAGUCUAUUCAUCCAUCUAUCUAUCUAUUCAUCUAUCUGUUGUCAUUAAGAGUUUUUUUUUCUUCCGUGUAAAACACUCUGGAUUUGCAUUACGGAUGAAUGGUGCUGUUCAAAUAACCUUGCCUUGCCUAUGG
Long non-coding RNA from Syngnathus acus (greater pipefish), 1350 nucleotides. RefSeq lists it as uncharacterized. The transcript is spliced from 3 exons. The record is from RefSeq and is a predicted model, not a curated record. Lineage: Eukaryota; Metazoa; Chordata; Actinopteri; Syngnathiformes; Syngnathidae.